CCAGUUGACCGGGCGGCCGCUUCGCGGGGGUAACCUUGCGGGGAGGAAAGUCCGGGCUCCAUCGAAAGACGGUGCCGGCUAACGGCCGGCGGGGGCGACCCCAGGGAAAGUGCCACAGAAAGCAAACCGCCUGCCUUCGGGCCGGCAAGGGUGAAAGGGUGCGGUAAGAGCGCACCGCGGGCCCGGCAACGGGAACGGCAUGGCAAACCCCACCGGGAGCAAGACCAAAUAGGGGUGACGCGGAAGCAAUUCCGGCCGGUUUUCGAGGCCAGUCACCCGGGUUGGUUGCAUGAGGCGGCUGGCAACAGACGUCGCAGAUGAAUGGCCGCCACGUCGGGGAAACCCGGCCCUACAGAACCCGGCUUACAGGUCAACUGGCGCU
RNAcentral lists this RNase P RNA (382 nucleotides) under Devosia sp. Its description in RNAcentral is "RNase P RNA component class A". It matches the Rfam family "Bacterial RNase P class A". Rfam says of the family: Ribonuclease P (RNase P) is a ubiquitous endoribonuclease, found in archaea, bacteria and eukarya as well as chloroplasts and mitochondria. The record is from RNAcentral. Lineage: Bacteria; Pseudomonadati; Pseudomonadota; Alphaproteobacteria; Hyphomicrobiales; Devosiaceae.